CACGUAGGGUGCGAGCGUUGUCCGGAAUUAUUGGGCGUAAAGAGCUCGUAGGCGGUGUGUCGCGUCGGCCGUGAAAACCUGCAGCUUAACUGUGGGCGUGCGGUCGAUACGGGCAUCACUGGAGUUCGGCAGGGGAGACUGGAACUCCUGGUGUAGCGGUGAAAUGCGCAGAUAUCAGGAGGAACAUCGGUGGCGAAGGCGGCAUCCUGGACCGAUAUUGACGCUGAGGCGCGAAAGCCAGGGGAGCAAACGGG
Molecule: ribosomal RNA, 254 nt
Filed under: uncultured bacterium
Lineage: Bacteria
Description: partial 16S ribosomal RNA
Rfam family: Bacterial small subunit ribosomal RNA
Source: RNAcentral